This 215-nucleotide ribosomal RNA is filed under the name uncultured bacterium. RNAcentral's name for it is "partial 16S ribosomal RNA". It matches the Rfam family "Bacterial small subunit ribosomal RNA", at positions 524 to 739 of the family's 1533-position model. The record is from RNAcentral.
UACGGGGGGGCAAGCGUUGUUCGGAAUUACUGGGCGUAAAGGGCUCGUAGGCGGCCAACUAAGUCAGACGUGAAAUCCCUCGGCUUAACCGGGGAACUGCGUCUGAUACUGGAUGGCUUGAGUUUGGGAGAGGGAUGCGGAAUUCCAGGUGUAGCGGUGAAAUGCGUAGAUAUCUGGAGGAACACCGGUGGCGAAGGCGGCACCCUGGACCGGCA